This 473-nucleotide long non-coding RNA is filed under the name Ananas comosus (pineapple). RNAcentral describes it as "long non-coding RNA (ACOM_LNC012999)". Lineage: Eukaryota; Viridiplantae; Streptophyta; Magnoliopsida; Poales; Bromeliaceae. The record is from RNAcentral.
UAAAGUUUAUUGCCAUUCAUAAGAGUCUCGAUUCGCUUUCAUGUGUCAGUUUUAUUUCUAUCUGAAUAUUAUAAUUAUUUUUUCUAGAAUUUUAUUUUUUUUUGGAAUUUAGUUUCAAAAAGUAACCGAUGGAUUUUUGGAUAGAAGCAAAAAUAACAUAUGACAGCAAAUCGUGGAUUCUCCAACAAGACAUCAUUAGAGAAUUCCCUACUGAAGUUUGAUUCGUCAUAAAUGUCAGCGAUUGAGUUUAUUGAUCGACUUUUCCUUUUUCAUCAAUAUUUGUGAAGUAAUCUGCGCAUUGCGGCGGGCUAAUUAUAUAAAAGAUAGAAGAUUGAUAUAGUAAAAAUUUUAAAAUUUUUUGACUUGUCAUAAGACAUCAAUGAAUACAUAGUAUAAAAAAAAAAUAGUACGAAGAGAUAUUAUUUUAUUUAUUAGGUUUUAGUAUUAAAAAAUACCUAAUAUUUUCUUGAAUA